GAAGAGGCUGCCUGUAAAGAUUACUGCCAAGUGUCCCGGAUGACAAUCCCAGACACCAUCAAUGUAAAGACAUAUGAAUGAGUGAGCCUUAACAUGAUUCUAGCCCCAGUCAUAAUCUGACUAAAACUGCAUGAGAUACCUGAGCAAGAAUUACCUAGGAAAGCCCAGUCAACACCAAGAAAAAUGAAAGGCUGCUAUUUUCCCACACUGAUGGAACCUGAGAGAACUUUAUCUGAAAUGCCAACAUUAGGGUGAAACUUUAACAAGAGAACUAAAAUUUGAAGAUAAAUCAAUAAAGAGAAACAGUGGCUAAACCAGAACAUGGAGUGGUAAGAAGAGAUGCAUGAAGAAACAAUUACUACCAAUCCUUGAGCACCAAAUCUGGCUGGGCAAGAGUGGAAGUUGAGGCUGUGUGAAGAGGCAGAAUCUUCUAACCGACUUGCUAUAAUCAGAUUAAUGUAAUCAGAAUUCAAAGAGAGAAGUCAUAGAUGAGGAAGUGGAGUAGGCCACAAUCAGG
This is a long non-coding RNA of Prionailurus viverrinus (fishing cat), 517 nucleotides long. RefSeq lists it as uncharacterized. The record is from RefSeq and is a predicted model, not a curated record. The transcript has 4 exons. Lineage: Eukaryota; Metazoa; Chordata; Mammalia; Carnivora; Felidae.